GAAAUGCGAUAAGUAAUGUGAAUUGCAGAAUUCAGUGAAUCAUCGAAUCUUUGAACGCACCUUGCGCUCCUUGGUAUUCCUUAGAGCAUGCCUGUUUGAGUAUCAUGAAAUCUUCAAAGUAAAUCUUUUGUUAACUCAAUUGGUUUCUACUUUGGUAUUGGAGGUCUUUGCAGCUUCACACCUGCUCCUCUUUGUUCAUUAGCUGGAUCUCAGUGUUAUGCUUGGUUCCACUCGGCGUGAUAAGUUAUCUAUCGCUGAGGAUACUGUAAAAGGUGGCCAAGGUAAAUGCAGAUGAACCGCUUCUAAUAGUCCAUUGACUUGGACAAUACUUUUAUGAUCUGAUCUCAAAUCAGGUAGGACUACCCGCUGAACUUAAGC
RNAcentral lists this unclassified non-coding RNA (378 nucleotides) under plant metagenome. Its description in RNAcentral is "partial contains 5.8S ribosomal RNA, internal transcribed spacer 2, and large subunit ribosomal RNA". The stretch from base 1 to 105 matches the Rfam family "5.8S ribosomal RNA", at positions 50 to 154 of the family's 154-position model. The record is from RNAcentral.